CUAGCGGGAGGCUUAACACAUGCAAGUCGAGCGGGAUUAGCAGCAAUGCUAUGAGAGCGGCGCACGGGUGCGUAACGCGUAUGCAACCUGCCUUAUACAGGGGAAUAGCCCAUGGAAACGUGGACUAAAGUCCCAUAGAAUCAAGAUAUCGCAUGGUAUUAUGAUUAAAACUGAGGUGGUAUAAGAUGGGCAUGCGUCUGAUUAGCUAGUUGGUGAGGUAACGGCUCACCAAGGCUACGAUCAGUAGGGGUUCUGAGAGGAUUACCCCCCACACUGGUACUGAGACACGGACCAGACUCCUACGGGAGGCAGCAGUGAGGAAUAUUGGUCAAUGGGCGCAAGCCUGAACCAGCCAAACCGCGUGCAGGAUGACGGUCCUAUGGGUUGUAAACUGCUUUUGUACCUGAAGAAUAGGCCCAACGAGUUGGGAUUUGCCGGUAAGGUAUGAAUAAGCAUCGGCUAACUCCGUGCCAGCAGCCGCGGUAAUACGGAGGAUGCAAGCGUUAUCCGGAUUCAUUGGGUUUAAAGGGUGCGUAGGCGGCUUUUUAAGUCAGUGGUGAAAUCCUGCCGCUUAACGGUAGAAUUGCCAUUGAUACUGAAAAGCUUGAGUACAUUUGAGGUAAGCGGAAUGUGUAGUGUAGCGGUGAAAUGCUUAGAUAUUACACAGAACACCAAUUGCGAAGGCAGCUUACUAAACUGAUACUGACGCUGAUGCACGAAAGCGUGGGGAGCGAACAGGAUUAGAUACCCUGGUAGUCCACGCCGUAAACGAUGCUCACUCGCUGUUUGCGAUACACAGCAAGCGGCCAAGCGAAAGCAUUAAGUGAGCCACCUGGGGAGUACGAUCGCAAGGUUGAAACUCAAAGGAAUUGACGGGGGCCCGCACAAGCGGAGGAACAUGUGGUUUAAUUCGAUGCAACGCGAAGAACCUUACCUGGGCUUGACAUCCUGUGACAAUAAGCAAGAGAUUGCUUAGUCCUUCGGGACAUCUGUGCAGGUGGUGCAUGGUUGUCGUCAGCUCGUGUCGUGAGAUGUUGGGUUAAGUCCCGCAACGAGCGCAACCCUUGUUGUUAGUUGCCAUCAUUCAGUUGGGCACUCUAAGGAGACUGCCGGUGACAAACCGGAGGAAGGUGGGGAUGACGUCAAAUCAUCAUGCCCCUUAUGUCCUGGGCUACACACGUACUACAAUGGCCUGAACAGAGGGAAGCGAAACUGCGAAGUUAAGCGAACCCCUUAAAACAGGUCCCAGUUCGGAUUGUAGGCUGCAACUCGCCUACAUGAAGUUGGAAUCGCUAGUAAUCGCGGAUCAGCAUGCCGCGGUGAAUACGUUCCCGGGCCUUGUACACACCGCCCGUCACACCACGGGAGUCGGCAACACCCGAAGCCGGUGAGGUAACCUU
This 1400-nucleotide ribosomal RNA is filed under the name uncultured bacterium. Its description in RNAcentral is "partial 16S ribosomal RNA". It matches the Rfam family "Bacterial small subunit ribosomal RNA". The record is from RNAcentral.